Molecule: non-coding RNA, 117 nt
Organism: Gossypium hirsutum (cotton)
Lineage: Eukaryota; Viridiplantae; Streptophyta; Magnoliopsida; Malvales; Malvaceae
Source: Rfam
CAUUAAAAAUUUUAUCCAUUUUUACUGUUAAAAACUAGUGUGACUAAUAAAAUAACCAGAUAAUUACACGUCACAAGGACUAGUUUUUAAUGGUAAAAAUUAAUGAAAUUUUUAAUA